CACAGGCAGCACCCUUUUGCAGAAGUAGAUGUGCGUUGCUGAGAAGUUUUCUCCCUAAGUUCUGGUUUUCUUUGCAGCACCCAGCAUUUGUUUCUAACACAGGGAAAGAGUGAGCUGUAAAAACCUCUCAAAUUCAAGAAAGCGUAAAGCAAAUUGAACAAUACGGGUGAGGAGCACGGACUAUUCUCUCAUGUUGAAUGUGGCACUUUUUACAUAUAAGCAGGAGAGCAACUACACCAAGAUUUUGGAAAACAUGUUAUGUAAGUUUUUAUUUUUAAAAUCAGGAGAGAAUUUCUGCAACAUCCUAUGACCACAGAUCCCUACCCAUCUACAUUGGGGCACUUACAGAUCACCUUCUCUUCUGAACUUUGUAUGAAGUGACCAUGUCCCUCCUAUCCCUUUCCAUGUGCACAAGAUCAUGUCAUCUCUAGCUUAUUCAAAGACAUUGCCUUAGCAAUCUGCCCUUGCCUUCUGUUUCAUCAGUUUCUAAGCAACAACUAGAAAGGCCAAAGCCUUACAGGACCAGUCUGGCCAGGGCAUAGCUACAGCAUCUUUCUCAUCUGUCUAGCAGACAGUUUCUAUUAGAUCAUUCCCACAAGUACAUACAAGCAGACUUACAUUUCUCACCUCACACUUUAUAAAAAACAAACAACUCCCCAGGCACCCACUUCUCCUCUCCAGGUACAGCCCCUUUG
Molecule: long non-coding RNA, 695 nt
Filed under: Pan troglodytes (chimpanzee)
Lineage: Eukaryota; Metazoa; Chordata; Mammalia; Primates; Hominidae
Description: long non-coding RNA NONPTRT012780
Source: RNAcentral